AGAGUUUGAUCAUGGCUCAGAAUGAACGCUGGCGGCACGCUUAACACAUGCAAGUCGAACGAGAUCUUCGGAUCUAGUGGCAGACGGGUGAGUAACGCGUGGGAACCUGCCCUUUAGUAGAGAACAACUUGAGGAAACUUGAGCUAAUACUUUAUACGCCCUUCGGGGGAAAGCUUUAUGCGCUAUUGGAUGGGCCCGCGUUAGAUUAGUUUGUUGGUGAGGUAACGGCUCACCAAGACUUCGAUCUAUAGCUGGUCUGAGAGGAUGAUCAGCCACACUGGGACUGAGACACGGCCCAGACUCCUACGGGAGGCAGCAGUGGGGAAUAUUGGACAAUGGGGGCAACCCUGAUCCAGCGAUGCCGCGUGAGUGAUGAAGGCCUUAGGGUUGUAAAGCUCUUUCGUCAGGGAAGAUAAUGACGGUACCUGAAGAAGAAGAUCCGGCUAACUCCGUGCCAGCAGCCGCGGUAAUACGGAGGGAUCUAGCGUUAUUCGGAAUUACUGGGCGUAAAGCGAGCGUAGGCGGAUUUGUAAGUUGGAGGUGAAAUCCCAGAGCUUAACUCUGGAACUGCCUUCAAAACUACAUUUCUUGAGUUUGGUAGAGGAGAGUGGAAUUCCUAGUGUAGAGGUGAAAUUCGUAGAUAUUAGGAGGAACACCAGUGGCGAAGGCGACUCUCUGGGCCAAUACUGACGCUGAGGUUCGAAAGCAUGGGUAGCGAACAGGAUUAGAUACCCUGGUAGUCCAUGCAGUAAACGAUGAGUGCUAGAUGUUGGAAACUUUAGUUUUCAGUAUCGCAGUUAACGCGUUAAGCACUCCGCCUGGGAAGUACGGCCGCAAGGCUAAAACUCAAAUGAAUUGACGGGGACCCGCACAAGCGGUGGAUCAUGUGGUUUAAUUCGAAGAUACGCGAAGAACCUUACCGGCCCUUGACAUACCAAUCGCGAACUUAAGAGAUUAAGUUCUUCACUUCGGGUGGAUUGGAUACAGGUGCUGCAUGGCUGUCGUCAGCUCGUGUCGUGAGAUGUU
This 1026-nucleotide ribosomal RNA is filed under the name marine metagenome. RNAcentral describes it as "bacterial SSU rRNA". It matches the Rfam family "Bacterial small subunit ribosomal RNA", at positions 8 to 1076 of the family's 1533-position model. The record is from RNAcentral.